This 208-nucleotide long non-coding RNA is filed under the name Mytilus galloprovincialis (Mediterranean mussel). Lineage: Eukaryota; Metazoa; Mollusca; Bivalvia; Mytilida; Mytilidae. The record is from RNAcentral.
GUCUGAUGUUCUCCAUUAACAGUUAAUCAGUUUUGAAACUUGAUUGCAAUUAAGACAAUUUCCUAUACUCUACAUCUAAAGAUUGUUAUAUAUGUUUAUCUAUCAACAGUUAUUUAGCUUGAGGCUUGAUUGUAAUUAAAAAUAUUUAGUAAUUACACAGUAUGAUAACUUCUAAAGGAAGAAAAUCAAAAUAUUUAUGAAGCUUUAC